UUAAGCGACUAAGCGUACACGGUGGAUGCCCUGGCAGUCAGAGGCGAUGAAGGACGUGCUAAUCUGCGAUAAGCGCCGGUAAGGUGAUAUGAACCGUUAUAACCGGCGAUUUCCGAAUGGGGAAACCCAGUGUGAUUCGUCACACUAUCAUUAACUGAAUCCAUAGGUUAAUGAGGCGAACCGGGGGAACUGAAACAUCUAAGUACCCCGAGGAAAAGAAAUCAACCGAGAUUCCCCCAGUAGCGGCGAGCGAACGGGGAGGAGCCCAGAGCCUGAAUCAGCAUGUGUGUUAGUGGAAGCGUCUGGAAAGGCGCGCGAUACAGGGUGACAGCCCCGUACACAAAAGCGCAUGUGCUGUGAGCUCGAUGAGUAGGGCGGGACACGUGGUAUCCUGUCUGAAUAUGGGGGGACCAUCCUCCAAGGCUAAAUACUCCUGACUGACCGAUAGUGAACCAGUACCGUGAGGGAAAGGCGAAAAGAACCCCGGCGAGGGGAGUGAAAAAGAACCUGAAACCGUGUACGUACAAGCAGUGGGAGCACAGGUUUACCUGUGUGACUGCGUACCUUUUGUAUAAUGGGUCAGCGACUUAUAUUCUGUAGCAAGGUUAACCGAAUAGGGGAGCCGGAGGGAAACCGAGUCUUAAUUGGGCGUUAAGUUGCAGGGUAUAGACCCGAAACCCGGUGAUCUAGCCAUGGGCAGGUUGAAGGUUGGGUAACACUAACUGGAGGACCGAACCGACUAAUGUUGAAAAAUUAGCGGAUGACCUGUGGCUGGGGGUGAAAGGCCAAUCAAACCGGGAGAUAGCUGGUUCUCCCCGAAAGCUAUUUAGGUAGCGCCUCGUGAAUUCAUCUCCGGGGGUAGAGCACUGUUUCGGCUAGGGGGCCAUCCCGGCUUACCAACCCGAUGCAAACUGCGAAUACCGGAGAAUGUUAUCACGGGAGACACACGGCGGGUGCUAACGUCCGUCGUGAAGAGGGAAACAACCCAGACCGCCAGCUAAGGUCCCAAAGUCAUGGUUAAGUGGGAAACGAUGUGGGAAGGCCCAGACAGCCAGGAUGUUGGCUUAGAAGCAGCCAUCAUUUAAAGAAAGCGUAAUAGCUCACUGGUCGAGUCGGCCUGCGCGGAAGAUGUAACGGGGCUAAACCAUGCACCGAAGCUGCGGCAGCGAACGUAUCACUUAAAGCGAUUCAGCGGGUUACGAUUGACGGAGCGAAGCGACGUCAAAGCGUAUACAAAGUCGAGUCGGUUUAAGGAUACGUUCGUUGGGUAGGGGAGCGUUCUGUAAGCCUGUGAAGGUGGCCUGUGAGGGUUGCUGGAGGUAUCAGAAGUGCGAAUGCUGACAUAAGUAACGAUAAAGCGGGUGAAAAGCCCGCUCGCCGGAAGACCAAGGGUUCCUGUCCAACGUUAAUCGGGGCAGGGUGAGUCGACCCCUAAGGCGAGGCCGAAAGGCGUAGUCGAUGGGAAACGGGUUAAUAUUCCCGUACUUGGUGUUACUGCGAAGGGGGGACGGAGAAGGCUAUGUUGGCCGGGCGACGGUUGUCCCGGUUUAAGCGUGUAGGUGUGUGUUCCAGGUAAAUCCGGUUCACUUUAACACUGAGGCGUGACGACGAGGCACUACGGUGCUGAAGCAACAAAUGCCCUGCUUCCAGGAAAAGCCUCUAAGCAUCAGGUAACAUCAAAUCGUACCCCAAACCGACACAGGUGGUCAGGUAGAGAAUACCAAGGCGCUUGAGAGAACUCGGGUGAAGGAACUAGGCAAAAUGGUGCCGUAACUUCGGGAGAAGGCACGCUGACACGUAGGUGAAGUGAUUUACUCAUGGAGCUGAAGUCAGUCGAAGAUACCAGCUGGCUGCAACUGUUUAUUAAAAACACAGCACUGUGCAAACACGAAAGUGGACGUAUACGGUGUGACGCCUGCCCGGUGCCGGAAGGUUAAUUGAUGGGGUCAGCGCAAGCGAAGCUCCUGAUCGAAGCCCCGGUAAACGGCGGCCGUAACUAUAACGGUCCUAAGGUAGCGAAAUUCCUUGUCGGGUAAGUUCCGACCUGCACGAAUGGCGUAAUGAUGGCCAGGCUGUCUCCACCCGAGACUCAGUGAAAUUGAACUCGCUGUGAAGAUGCAGUGUACCCGCGGCAAGACGGAAAGACCCCGUGAACCUUUACUAUAGCUUGACACUGAACAUUGAGCCUUGAUGUGUAGGAUAGGUGGGAGGCUUUGAAGCGUGGACGCCAGUCUGCGUGGAGCCGACCUUGAAAUACCACCCUUUAAUGUUUGAUGUUCUAACGUGGACCCGUAAUCCGGGUUGCGGACAGUGUCUGGUGGGUAGUUUGACUGGGGCGGUCUCCUCCUAAAGAGUAACGGAGGAGCACGAAGGUUGGCUAAUCCUGGUCGGACAUCAGGAGGUUAGUGCAAUGGCAUAAGCCAGCUUGACUGCGAGCGUGACGGCGCGAGCAGGUGCGAAAGCAGGUCAUAGUGAUCCGGUGGUUCUGAAUGGAAGGGCCAUCGCUCAACGGAUAAAAGGUACUCCGGGGAUAACAGGCUGAUACCGCCCAAGAGUUCAUAUCGACGGCGGUGUUUGGCACCUCGAUGUCGGCUCAUCACAUCCUGGGGCUGAAGUAGGUCCCAAGGGUAUGGCUGUUCGCCAUUUAAAGUGGUACGCGAGCUGGGUUUAGAACGUCGUGAGACAGUUCGGUCCCUAUCUGCCGUGGGCGCUGGAGAACUGAGGGGGGCUGCUCCUAGUACGAGAGGACCGGAGUGGACGCAUCACUGGUGUUCGGGUUGUCAUGCCAAUGGCACUGCCCGGUAGCUAAAUGCGGAAGAGAUAAGUGCUGAAAGCAUCUAAGCACGAAACUUGCCCCGAGAUGAGUUCUCCCUGAGACUUUAGGUCUCCUGAAGGAACGUUGAAGACGACGACGUUGAUAGGCCGGGUGUGUAAGCGCAGCGAUGCGUUGAGCUAACCGGUACUAAUGAACCGUGAGGCUUAACCUU
This 2987-nucleotide ribosomal RNA is filed under the name Salmonella enterica. RNAcentral's name for it is "bacterial LSU rRNA". It matches the Rfam family "Bacterial large subunit ribosomal RNA". Lineage: Bacteria; Pseudomonadati; Pseudomonadota; Gammaproteobacteria; Enterobacterales; Enterobacteriaceae. The record is from RNAcentral.